RNAcentral lists this long non-coding RNA (745 nucleotides) under Prunus persica (peach). RNAcentral's name for it is "long non-coding RNA (PPER_LNC001110)". Lineage: Eukaryota; Viridiplantae; Streptophyta; Magnoliopsida; Rosales; Rosaceae. The record is from RNAcentral.
GGAAAGUGAAGCCAUCCUCCUUGGAUUUUACUUUCCCUUCUCAUGGGAAAGUAAGGCCAGCAUUGAAUGCACCUUUUUCUGAUUAAUUUGUCCUUACUAAUAAUUUAUAAUUACAAUUUUUUCCAACAACUAUUGGUAUUCUUUUUUAUUUUUUUUAAUUCAUAUUUCUUAAAAUCCUCCCGGCAACAUUCUAUUUUCCCAUAACGUAUUUCUCAUAACUCUGUUUACACAAGGAAGGCAAAACUUCAACCUCACAAAAGUUUUCACAUACUCAUCCUCAGAGCAACUUCAAACAAGACGGAUAUUAUACUUCUAUUCAUCACCCAAUAUUUUCCAUUUUUAUUCUUCUUCUUCCUUUUUCUUUCCCACUUGAGCACCCAAAUAUUCAGUAUAUGAAUUGACUUGAGUUCUCGGUUUAAUAGUUGGAUUAUUUGGUGUCUUUCUACUUUUUCUUUUUUUUUUCUUUUUCUGGGUUUAACAUGUAUUUUUCUCUAAUACACUGUUUGAAAUUUUGGUUGAGCUAAGACUAGACAUUGAUAUCUCACACAUAUAUCUCUCAAAGAAUAUGAAUAUUGAGGGAAAGUUGCUAUCUCUCUAGGCUCACUUGUAUCAAUUACAAGUUGUGUUAAAUACGGCACUCUCUCACCAACUAAAGAGCAAAUUCUUUUUUGUUUGCAUAUAACCAAAAACAGCUACAAUCAAUCAAGAAAUUAUAGAGAUAGAGAAAAAAAAAAUUAAAGAGAGU